GGGUUGUGAGGUUAAGCGACUAAGCGUACACGGUGGAUGCCCUGGCAGUCAGAGGCGAUGAAGGGCGUGCUAAUCUGCGAUAAGCGCCGGUAAGGUGAUAUGAACCGUUAUAACCGGCGAUACCCGAAUGGGGAAACCCAGUGUGACUCGUCACACUAUCAUUAACUGAAUCCAUAGGUUAAUGAGGCGAACCGGGGGAACUGAAACAUCUAAGUACCCCGAGGAAAAGAAAUCAACCGAGAUUCCCCCAGUAGCGGCGAGCGAACGGGGAGGAGCCCAGAGCCUGAAUCAGCAUGUGUGUUAGUGGAAGCGUCUGGAAAGGCGCGCGAUACAGGGUGACAGCCCCGUACACAAAAGCGCAUGUGCUGUGAGCUCGAUGAGUAGGGCGGGACACGUGGUAUCCUGUCUGAAUAUGGGGGGACCAUCCUCCAAGGCUAAAUACUCCUGACUGACCGAUAGUGAACCAGUACCGUGAGGGAAAGGCGAAAAGAACCCCGGCGAGGGGAGUGAAAAAGAACCUGAAACCGUGUACGUACAAGCAGUGGGAGCCCCACCACCAAAGCAUUCUCUGGUGUUGAAGGCCCUGCAAAGCAGCAUCGCGGUGGCGGAGCGUCGUUUGCGACGCCCAACACACAAAACAAGCGGUGAGUGC
This 652-nucleotide ribosomal RNA is filed under the name Salmonella enterica. RNAcentral describes it as "partial 23S ribosomal RNA". It matches the Rfam family "Bacterial large subunit ribosomal RNA", at positions 1 to 600 of the family's 2925-position model. RNAcentral also lists the same sequence under 1 other name. Lineage: Bacteria; Pseudomonadati; Pseudomonadota; Gammaproteobacteria; Enterobacterales; Enterobacteriaceae. The record is from RNAcentral.